CCUACGGGAGGCAGCAGUGAGGAAUAUUGGUCAAUGGACGAGAGUCUGAACCAGCCAAGUAGCGUGAAGGAUGGCUGCCCUAUGGGUUGUAAACUUCUUUUAUAUGGGAAUAAAAUGUUCCACGUGUGGGAUUUUGUAUGUACCAUAUGAAUAAGGAUCGGCUAACUCCGUGCCAGCAGCCGCGGUAAUACGGCGGAUCCGAGCGUUAUCCGGAUUUAGUGGGUUUAAAGGGAGCGUAGGUGGAUUGUUAAGUCAGUUGUGAAAGUUUGCGGCUCAACCGUAAAAUUGCAGUUGAAACUGGCAGUCUUGAGUACAGUAGAGGUGGGCGGAAUUCGUGGUGUAGCGGUGAAAUGCUUAGAUAUCACGAAGAACUCCGAUUGCGAAGGCAGCUCACUGGACUGCAACUGACACUGAGGCUCGAAAGUGUGGGUAUCAAACAGGAUUAGAUACCCCUGUAGUC
This 460-nucleotide ribosomal RNA is filed under the name uncultured bacterium. RNAcentral's name for it is "partial 16S ribosomal RNA". It matches the Rfam family "Bacterial small subunit ribosomal RNA", at positions 338 to 795 of the family's 1533-position model. The record is from RNAcentral.